Nicotiana attenuata is the source of this 316-nucleotide long non-coding RNA. RefSeq lists it as uncharacterized. The record is from RefSeq and is a predicted model, not a curated record. The transcript is spliced from 3 exons. Lineage: Eukaryota; Viridiplantae; Streptophyta; Magnoliopsida; Solanales; Solanaceae.
CCUCGACCAAAUAACACCCCCAAACUCACCCUCAAGCUCCCCACAAGUAUUUCCAAUAAUAUUAUCAUCCCGGGCACGAAAUCAAGAAGUAAUAACGCAAGAACGAUCCCCACGACGGGAGAUGCUGCUCGAAUUUAUAUAAACGAGCUACAAGUUUAUGUUGCAGAUUUAGCCUUUAUUCAACACUGAUUUUGAAUCUCCUUAUGCAAUGGUAGAUUGAGUUGAUUUGUUUUAAGAGUAGCUUGGGAGGUAUUAAAGACUCACUAUGGUUAAGGUUCCGAUUGAUAGGUUGACAGUCUUCCUAGUAGGCUAUCAG